UGUUUACCCAUAAAUUUCAGCAAGGCGAUGCAAGAGAAGGCGGUGGUAGGCCCCGGCAGGCUGGAGCUCUAUCGUAUCCGCCGCGCCGUCGUCCUCUUCACGGCAGUGCAGCUCCUGGAGGGCUGCGACGAGGGACUCCUCGGUGGAGAGGAUGAGAUGCUUGCUGUGCAGGUUGUCCUUGAUGAGCGAGGCCAGCUCCUCAACCAUGGCGAACUGAGUGGUGGCCAUCUCCCGAUUGAAUUGCUGAUGGAAGCAGUUCGAUCUGUCAAGAGCCGAGGGGAGGAAAGUGCUGCUGACGAAAGCCUAGCCCAGCCGCAACUGCAACUGCGAUUGGAGAGGGGAGCUGAGGCUGGAGAAGGGGGAUUCGGAGGAAAACCCUGGGCUGAAGCAAGCAUCAAAUAGCUAGGGCAUGGACGCCGUGGAGGCAGCGGGGAUUCAGCAACAAGUUUAGGCCAUGGGUAUCCCUAAGAUUUUUGGAUCCAUGGUAGGUACGCUCGAGAGUCGGAUUCGCGAAUUUGUUAUGCUGGAGAUUGCAACUAAUAACUGCUUCAGCCUUGAAAAAAUUUAUCCAUGUGCCUUUGCGGAGAUAUAGGUAACAGACCGCGACGGAGGGCCAGGCGCACAGCCGCGUCGCUCCAGACGCUGAUUGAUCCAUCUGUGUUCUUGUCUACCCACCUGCACCAACAUGGAUUAGCAUCAUAGGGUAAAGCCAAGCCUGCCAUUUGCAGUUUUGAGAGUGGCCAGACAUUCUCCAGGUUAU
RNAcentral lists this unclassified non-coding RNA (760 nucleotides) under Zea mays. Its description in RNAcentral is "misc RNA Zm00001eb394560". Lineage: Eukaryota; Viridiplantae; Streptophyta; Magnoliopsida; Poales; Poaceae. The record is from RNAcentral.